Molecule: long non-coding RNA, 1986 nt
Organism: Sparus aurata (gilthead seabream)
Lineage: Eukaryota; Metazoa; Chordata; Actinopteri; Spariformes; Sparidae
Source: Ensembl
GUGAGAGACAGUGUGUGUGUGUGUGUGUGUGUGUGUGUGUGUGUGUGAAUGAAUGUUAUUUUCAUUCUUUUUGUUUUAACCGUUGCUUUUUCGUAUUCAUCUGCAGGGGGACAAAGUGUGCGGACUGUGUUUCAGGAACUAUGCUAAUCUCAAGCAGCACCUCAAGGUCUCGCACUCGGUGCCCAACAAAGAUGAGUUUUCACUUCUGCUAAAAUACGGGAACGCCAGGUAAUAACGUACAUUCGUCCACAUGACAAAAGGGGACAUUUUGUAAGUCCAAAUUGUGAAAUUGUCAUUCUGCAUUCCCUACUCCAGGACCACCCAGCGGCUGUCAUGCCAAAUUUGCAAUAGGCGCAACCUGGUCAGACUCAACAAGCACCUCAUCGAGGUCCACCUGCUGCCUUUAGAGGUAAGGGUUAAAGCAACGUAAAUCCUUCAAAUGUGGUGUGAAAUGGCAAUAGAAAUGGUUUCGUGUCCAAAUGUGUCACUUUGUAUCUGUAGGAUCGGGAGUUCACCCUCAAGGAGGCCAAGCGGGUGAGCAUAGUGAAGGAGUUUGCGGCACUGAGGAGGACCGAGCCUCAGGUGCCCAUGGUGUCCUCGCUUGAUGUGCAGUGCGACUACGACGAAGGUAAAUUUACACUGUGACGAGUGAAUUUGUCUAUGAAAGUUUCACUGUUGUACACAGUACAUGUGUCCCUGACCCGUCUGUUGUUUAACAUUGCAGGCGAGGCACCAGACAUGGAAGAGGACGACGACGACCCAAACGAGGCCGACCAGGCGAGUGAGGGGGAGGAAGCGCCGCUCCUCCACCUCUCCCUCAGCGAGGACUCCGAGGCUGGCGACGGCACCAUCGGCGGCCCCGUGCUUGCGUCGACACCGCAACGCUCGACAGUCGCCAGCCUCGGAGUCCCCCAACAGGGGGCCGUCGCCUGUCCCUCUUGGGCCCCCUCGGCCGCCGACCCCCCCUUGGCCAUCGCCCCGCCCAGCGGAGCCCAACCCACCGGUGUGGAGACUGCCAGCUCGCCGCAGUCCGCUAGCGCUGCCGCCUCCUCAAGCGGACUCGGUAGCCUCGGCAGCCACAACACCUCCGCCCUUGGCCCGGAUACCACCUGCCACUGCGGCUGCCAGAGCCUGGGGGAGAGGGUGAAAGUCCUUGAGGAUAGAGUGAGGCACCUGAUGCAGCGUCAGGAGGGCGCCGGCACGCCCAAAACUCCCAGGGGUGUGCCGGCGACCCUCACCACGUCGGCGCAAAAACACGAACACGUGGCGAAGCUGGGCAAGUCGGGGAAGGUCUUCGAGCUCGCGGUGGAAGACUACCGCAAGUUCAGGCUGGGAGGCAAAUUGGCGGCCAAGGACCGGGAGAACGCCAGGCAGUCAGCAAGCCACGCGCUGCGGUUCUGCCUAUACAUGGCGUCGACCCUGCCCGACAAGGCGGUCGCCAGCGACUUGAAAUUCCUCUUGCAGACGGACAAGCUGCGGGGGUAAGUGUGUUUUUUUUUUUUUUUUUUUUUUUUUUGGUCAGAGUGAUGAGAAAAUGGAAUUACGUGUUUGCAAGUAUGGGAAGUCUUUCAUCACUUACGAUUGCUUGCCUUCUCUUUUAGGUGGCCGCAGUACCUUCGGCAGAAGGGCUAUGCUGCCACCACCAUCCGCAACAUGCUCAACAAUGUGGUCACCUUCGUCCGGCACGUCCAAUGCUCCUUUACUAAACAGAGCAAGUUGAGAGCCUCCGACUUCCCCAAGCUCUUAUAUGAGUUCAAGCAGCUGAUGGCCGCCGUCCACAAGAACGUGGUGGUCCAUCGGCAAAAAGUGUCAAAGAGAAAGACCGGUAACGUUUCAUGUCGUCGUCGCCGUGUCAUUGUUGUUUUUACAUCCCGUCGUGUCUAAAGUUGUGACUUCGAACCUCUAAAAUGGGCUGCUUGCCACACUGUUUUCACAGAUGACCAGCUGGCGGCCUCCAACGAGGUGAAAUUCCUCCAGAUUUCCAAG